This 301-nucleotide ribosomal RNA is filed under the name uncultured bacterium. Its description in RNAcentral is "partial 16S ribosomal RNA". It matches the Rfam family "Bacterial small subunit ribosomal RNA", at positions 509 to 807 of the family's 1533-position model. The record is from RNAcentral.
CAGUAGCCACGGGAAUACGUAGGUGGCAAGCGUUGUCCGGAAUCAUUGGGCGUAAAGGGCUCGCAGGCGGUUUCUUAAGUCUGAUGUGAAAGCCCCCGGCUCAACCGGGGAGGGUCAUUGGAAACUGGGAAACUUGAGUGCAGAAGAGGAGAGUGGAAUUCCACGUGUAGCGGUGAAAUGCGUAGAGAUGUGGAGGAACACCAGUGGCGAAGGCGACUCUCUGGUCUGUAACUGACGCUGAGGAGCGAAAGCGUGGGGAGCGAACAGGAUUAGAUACCCCAGUAGUCCCUGUCUCUUAUAC